This is a long non-coding RNA of Solanum stenotomum, 255 nucleotides long. RefSeq lists it as uncharacterized. NCBI's taxonomy places the organism in Eukaryota, Viridiplantae, Streptophyta, Magnoliopsida, Solanales, Solanaceae. The record is from RefSeq and is a predicted model, not a curated record. The transcript is spliced from 3 exons.
AAAGUCAAGAAACUACAUUAUUGCUCAUUAUUGUUAUCUGUUAUUGUUGGCACUUGAAACUUGAAAGUGGUCUCAUGGAAGAGGCUACAUUGUUUGUUGCUCAUUAUUGUUGUUUGUUAUUGUUGACACUUGAAACUUGAAGGUGGUCUCAUGGAAGAGGCUACAUUGUUUGUUGCUCAUUAUUGUUGUUUGUUAUUGUUGGCACUUGAAACUUGAAAGUGGUCUCAUGGAAGAGGCUACAUUGUUUGUUGCUCA